GGAGGUGUGGAGGGCUUCCUCACCUUUCUCCUCGCUGGUGCCAAGCUCAGGGGAGGCUCCUAGGGCGUGGGGAUACAAAUAGAGAAGCCACAUUGCAAAAACACCCCUGCAGUUUCGACCAUUCAAAAUCUGCCACUGCGUACUGGUACACGGGCCCGCGUACCGGUACACCUCUCACGAAAACGCCAAACCCGAGUCUCGGGUUGGCUGAGAUGCUGCCACAGUUGAUGGCUGUACCGGUACAGCCAUCACCCUGUACCGGUACAUAGCCCACUGAAGGCUACUCGAGAGCUUAACCAAAAA
Molecule: long non-coding RNA, 303 nt
Filed under: Ananas comosus (pineapple)
Lineage: Eukaryota; Viridiplantae; Streptophyta; Magnoliopsida; Poales; Bromeliaceae
Description: long non-coding RNA (ACOM_LNC036110)
Source: RNAcentral